Gallus gallus (chicken) is the source of this 387-nucleotide long non-coding RNA. RefSeq lists it as uncharacterized. The record is from RefSeq and is a predicted model, not a curated record. The transcript is spliced from 4 exons. NCBI's taxonomy places the organism in Eukaryota, Metazoa, Chordata, Aves, Galliformes, Phasianidae.
AUGGACUUCUGCAAGGCCUUUGAAAUGGUCCCCCACCACAUCAUUAUCUCUAAACUGGAGAGAAAAUUAGAUGUAACAGUGAUCAUUCAUGCUAUGCAAGAGAUGCACUUGCCCUAGACGAUCUGCUAUACUGGUUUGCAGACUGGGAUAGACCUUCAGACCAGAGAUAUUUUAUGCCAUUGCAGUGCUCUGUAAUUCAUACAGCUCCAUCAUAGUGUACGCAAGGUACACUGGAAAGAGGGCAACCAUCUGUCACAGGAAUGGUUACACAAGAAAACAGGAGCAAAAACUAUUAUUCUAUUGUCAACAUCCAGAUGAGUCCCAAAAUUUGCUGCAGUGGGGUUGAUUUUAAGGCAUACAACAAUCUGACUUAUUUACAGUAUGGAA